CAGCCGCCGCGGUAAUACGGAGGGCGCGAGCGUUGUCCGGAUUCACUGGGCGUAAAGCGGGUGUGGGCGGUCGGGUAAGUCGGACGUGAAAGCCCGGGGCUCAACCCCGGAAGGGCGUCCGAAACUGCUCGACUUGAGGGCGGGAGAGGGAGGUGGAAUUCCCGGUGUAGCGGUGAAAUGCGUAGAGAUGUGGAGGAACACCAGUGGCGAAGGCGGCUCUCUGGCCUGUAACUGACGCUGAGGCGCGAAAGCGUGGGGAGCAAACAGGAUUAGAUCCCCUGGUAGUCCACGCCGUAAACGAUGAGUGCUAAGUGUUAGAGGGGUCACACCCUUUAGUGCUGCAGCUAACGCGAUAAGCACUCCGCCUGGGGAGUACGGCCGCAAGGCUGAAACUUAAAGGAAUUGGCGGG
Molecule: ribosomal RNA, 410 nt
Filed under: uncultured microorganism
Description: bacterial SSU rRNA
Rfam family: Bacterial small subunit ribosomal RNA
Source: RNAcentral